Molecule: small RNA, 224 nt
Filed under: Arabidopsis thaliana (thale cress)
Lineage: Eukaryota; Viridiplantae; Streptophyta; Magnoliopsida; Brassicales; Brassicaceae
Description: ATSL168420
Source: RNAcentral
CAAAAGCAAGUUGGACUCGUCUUUGGCUCUGAUACCAAAACUGGCGCAGCGGGACUUGAUAGAAAACCUAAGCUCGUUGAUUCGAUGUGAAUGGCCAAACAAAGGGCUGUCUGCAGUUCGUUGACUCUUGUGAAUACCGAACAAAGACGAACUUGAAAGUCGUUGAUUCCUUGGAAUAGCCGAGAUUCAAGAGAGAAGGGAAGCUUAAAGCUCUGUUUUUAAAU